RNAcentral lists this transfer RNA (569 nucleotides) under Nostoc sp. WJT66-NPBG18. Its description in RNAcentral is "16S-23S ribosomal RNA intergenic spacer". The stretch from base 295 to 367 matches the Rfam family "tRNA". Lineage: Bacteria; Bacillati; Cyanobacteriota; Cyanophyceae; Nostocales; Nostocaceae. The record is from RNAcentral.
UUUAGGGAGACCUACACCCCUUAGAUAUCGAAAAACACACUAGUUUUAUAGAUAGUAAGUUGGUCUAACCUAGGUCGGUCGCGGACAUUUGCAAUUGUUAAAAGCUUUCAAACUAUGAUGAAGGUUCGAAAUGGGCUAUUAGCUCAGGUGGUUAGAGCGCACCCCUGAUAAGGGUGAGGUCCCUGGUUCGAGUCCAGGAUGGCCCACCUGAAUCAAUUAAAAAUAUAAAAUGCAAAAUUAAAAAUGAAUAAAAUUCAAUUUUUAAUUUUUAAUUAUCAGUUUUUAAUUGUAUCUGGGGGUUUAGCUCAGUUGGUAGAGCGCCUGCUUUGCAAGCAGGAUGUCAGCGGUUCGAGUCCGCUAACCUCCACCUGUGGCGAUUGCCAUUGAAGAAUAGAUUGAGAGUUCAGCAACAUGACUUUGGUGUCAGACUGCUGAGUUAAUUCUCAGCCAGAACCUUGAAAACUGCAUAGUAACGCGAAAAAAGCAGGCAGACACAGAUAAUCUUUACAGAUGUUUUUGUGAAUGCAAAAGUUUAAAGACCAAAUGAAUUGAGUGGUCAAGCGAAUAAG